GUGCCCUCUGAUGCAAAUCAUUGGGUUAGAUCUGCUCUCUUCGCAAGAAGAGGGUUUCCAUACACACCGUGAACUGUGGCUUCGGCCAUCACAAACUGUUAGUAAUGAAUGUAAUAUCAUAACAAAAACAAAACUUUUAACAACGGAUCUCUUGGCUCUCGCAUCGAUGAAGAACGCAGCGAAAUGCGAUAAGUAAUGUGAAUUGCAGAAUUCAGUGAAUCAUCGAAUCUUUGAACGCACCUUGCGCCCUUUGGUAUUCCGAAGGGCAUGCCUGUUUGAGUGUCAUGAAACCUCACCCCACUUGGGUUUUUGCCUGAGCGGUGGUGUAUUGGGUGUUGCCUUGCUAAAGGCUCGCCUUAAAGACAUAAGCACCUUGGAUGUAAUACGUUUCAUCCUUCUGGGUGGCUGAUAACCCCACAUAUUCAUGAUCUGGCCUCAAAUCAGGUAGGGCUACCCGCUGAACUUAAGCAUAU
This 473-nucleotide ribosomal RNA is filed under the name Vishniacozyma victoriae. RNAcentral describes it as "eukaryotic LSU rRNA". The stretch from base 132 to 285 matches the Rfam family "5.8S ribosomal RNA". Lineage: Eukaryota; Fungi; Basidiomycota; Tremellomycetes; Tremellales; Bulleribasidiaceae. The record is from RNAcentral.